Molecule: ribosomal RNA, 448 nt
Filed under: uncultured Chrysophyceae
Lineage: Eukaryota; Chrysophyceae
Description: SSU rRNA
Rfam family: Eukaryotic small subunit ribosomal RNA
Source: RNAcentral
CUGACACAGGGAGGUAGUGACAAUAAAUAGUAUUGCCGAGCUUUUAAAGGUUUGGUCAUCGCAAUGAGAACAAUUUAAACCCCUUAUCGAGGAUCAAUUGGAGGGCAAGUCUGGUGCCAGCAGCCGCGGUAAUUCCAGCUCCAAUAGCGUAUACUAAAGUUGUUGCAGUUAAAAAGCUCGUAGUUGGAUUUCUGUUUUGAAGAAUGGGUCGUGCCCAAACGGGUUCUGUACUUUUUUCUUCGGAACAUCCUCGAAGUUAGCGUGUCUGCCAUUCAGUUGGUGGGCUCGGGACCUUCGUCAUUUACUGUGAGCAAAAUAGAGUGUUCAAAGCAGGCUUAGGCCAUGAAUAUAUUAGCAUGGAAUAAUAAGAUAGGACCUUGGUCUAUUUUGUUGGUUUACAUUCCAAGGUAAUGAUUAAUAGGGAUAGUUGGGGGUAUUCGUAUUCAAU